AACGAACGCUGGCGGCAUGCCUAACACAUGCAAGUCGAACGAGACCUUCGGGUCUAGUGGCGCACGGGUGCGUAACGCGUGGGGAUCUGCCCUUGGGUUCGGAAUAACAGUUGGAAACGACUGCUAAUACCGGAUGAUGACGUAAGUCCAAAGAUUUAUCGCCCAAGGAUGAGCCCGCGUAGGAUUAGCUAGUUGGUGAGGUAAAGGCUCACCAAGGCGACGAUCCUUAGCUGGUCUGAGAGGAUGAUCAGCCACACUGGGACUGAGACACGGCCCAGACUCCUACGGGAGGCAGCAGUGGGGAAUAUUGGACAAUGGGCGAAAGCCUGAUCCAGCAAUGCCGCGUGAGUGAUGAAGGCCUUAGGGUUGUAAAGCUCUUUUACCCGGGAUGAUAAUGACAGUACCGGGAGAAUAAGCUCCGGCUAACUCCGUG
RNAcentral lists this ribosomal RNA (433 nucleotides) under uncultured bacterium. RNAcentral describes it as "partial 16S ribosomal RNA". It matches the Rfam family "Bacterial small subunit ribosomal RNA", at positions 29 to 507 of the family's 1533-position model. The record is from RNAcentral.